GGCCCUGUGGCCUAAUGGAUAAGGCGCCAGCCUCCGGAGCUGGAGAUUGUGGGUUCAAGUCCCAUCAGGGUCG
RNAcentral lists this transfer RNA (73 nucleotides) under Hydra vulgaris (swiftwater hydra). Its description in RNAcentral is "transfer RNA arginine (anticodon CCG)". It matches the Rfam family "tRNA". From Rfam's summary of the family: Transfer RNA (tRNA) molecules are approximately 80 nucleotides in length. Their secondary structure includes four short double-helical elements and three loops (D, anti-codon, and T loops). Further hydrogen bonds mediate the characteristic L-shaped molecular structure. tRNAs have two regions of fundamental functional importance: the anti-codon, which is responsible for specific mRNA codon recognition, and the 3' end, to which the tRNAs corresponding amino acid is attached (by aminoacyl-tRNA synthetases). tRNAs cope with the degeneracy of the genetic code in two manners: having more than one tRNA (with a specific anti-codon) for a particular amino acid; and 'wobble' base-pairing, i.e. permitting non-standard base-pairing at the 3rd anti-codon position. RNAcentral also lists the same sequence under 1 other name. The record is from Rfam by way of RNAcentral. Lineage: Eukaryota; Metazoa; Cnidaria; Hydrozoa; Anthoathecata; Hydridae.